AGCGAACGCUGGCGGCAGGCCUAACACAUGCAAGUCGAACGAACCUUUCGGGGUUAGUGGCGGACGGGUGAGUAACACGUGGGAACUUGCCUUUAGGUUCGGAAUAACUCAGGGAAACUUUUGCUAAUACCUAAUGUGCCCUUCGGGGGAAAGAUUUAUCGCCUUUAGAGCGGCCCGCGUCUGAUUAGCUAGUUGGUUGAGGUAAUGGCUCACCAAGGCGACGAUCAGUAGCUGGUCUGAGAGGAUGAUCAGCCACAUUGGGACUGAGACACGGCCCAAACUCCUACGGGAGGCAGCAGUGGGGAAUCUUGCGCAAUGGGCGAAAGCCUGACGCAGCCAUGCCGCGUGAAUGAUGAAGGUAUUAGGAUUGUAAAAUUCUUUCACCGGGGACGAUAAUGACGGUACCCGGAGAAGAAGCCCCGGCUAACUUCGUG
Molecule: ribosomal RNA, 434 nt
Filed under: uncultured bacterium
Lineage: Bacteria
Description: partial 16S ribosomal RNA
Rfam family: Bacterial small subunit ribosomal RNA
Source: RNAcentral